AAUGAACGCUGGCGGCAUGCCUAACACAUGCAAGUCGAACGAAACCUUCGGGUGUAGUGGCGCACGGGUGUGUAACGCGUGGGAACCUGCCCUUAGGUUCGGAAUAACUCCCCGAAAGGGGUGCUAAUACCGGAUAAUGUCUUCGGACCAAAGAUUUAUCGCCUUUGGAUGGGCCCGCGUUGGAUUAGCUAGUUGGUAGGGUAAUAGCCUACCAAGGCGACGAUUCAUAGCUGGUCUGAGAGGAUGAUCAGCCACACUGGGAGUGAGACACGGCCCAGAAUCCUACGGGAGGGGGCAGUGGGGAAUGGAGGAAAGUGGGCGGAAGCAUGAACCAGCAAUGACGGGUGAGUGAUGAAGGCCUGAGGGUAGUAAAGCUCUUUUAACCGGGAUGAUAAUGACAGUACCGAAAGAAUAAGCCCCGGCUAACUCCGUG
Molecule: ribosomal RNA, 433 nt
Filed under: uncultured bacterium
Lineage: Bacteria
Description: partial 16S ribosomal RNA
Rfam family: Bacterial small subunit ribosomal RNA
Source: RNAcentral